This 429-nucleotide ribosomal RNA is filed under the name Bacteroidota bacterium. RNAcentral's name for it is "Bacteroidetes bacterium partial 16S ribosomal RNA". It matches the Rfam family "Bacterial small subunit ribosomal RNA", at positions 355 to 776 of the family's 1533-position model. The record is from RNAcentral. Lineage: Bacteria; Pseudomonadati; Bacteroidota.
UAGGGAAUCUUCCGCAAUGGACGCAAGUCUGACGGAGCAACGCCGCGUGAGUGAAGAAGGAUUUCGGUUCGUAAAACUCUGUUGUUAGAGAAGAACAGCGCAUAGAGUAACUGUUAUGCGUGUGACGGUAUCUAACCAGAAAGCCACGGCUAACUACGUGCCAGCAGCCGCGGUAAUACGUAGGUGGCAAGCGUUGUCCGGAUUUAUUGGGCGUAAAGCGAGCGCAGGCGGUCAAUUAAGUCUGAUGUGAAAGCCCCCGGCUCAACCGGGGAUGGUCAUUGCAAACUGGUUGACUUGAGUGCAGAAGAUGAGAGUGGAAUUCCAUGUGUAGCGGUGACAUGCGUAGAUAUAUGGCGGACCCCCAGUGGCGAAGGCGACUCUCUGGUCUGUAACUGACGCUGAGGCUCGAAAGCGUGGGUAGCAAACAGG